AUACUUACCUGGCAGGGGAGAGACCAUGAUCACGAAGGUGUUUUCCCAGGGCGAGGCUUAUCCAUUGAAUCCGGAUGUGCUGGCCCCUGUGAUUUCUCCAAAUGUGGGAAACUCCACUGCAUAAUUUGUGGUAGUGGGGGGCUGCGUUCGCACUCUCCCCUG
Molecule: small nuclear RNA, 162 nt
Filed under: Jaculus jaculus (lesser Egyptian jerboa)
Lineage: Eukaryota; Metazoa; Chordata; Mammalia; Rodentia; Dipodidae
Description: U1 spliceosomal RNA (ENSJJAG00000006848.1)
Rfam family: U1 spliceosomal RNA
About the family: U1 is a small nuclear RNA (snRNA) component of the spliceosome (involved in pre-mRNA splicing).
Source: Rfam by way of RNAcentral